GAUGAACGCUGGCGGCGUGCCUUAGGCAUGCAAGUCGAACGGCUCUUCGGAGCAGUGGCGGAAGGGUGAGUAACGCGUGGGAACGUACCAUUUGGUGGGGGAUAGCUCUCCGAAAGGAGGGGUAAUCCCGCAUAAGCCCGUAAGGGGAAAGAUUUAUCGCCGAAUGAGCGGCCCGCGUCCUAUCAGCUUGUUGGUGAGGUAAUGGCUCACCAAGGCGAUGACGGGUAGCUGGGCNGAGAGGUCGGCCAGCCACAAGGGAACUGAGACACGGUCCCUACAUCUACGGAUGGCAGCAACCGGGAAUCUUGGACAAUGGGGGAAACCCUGAUCCAGCGACGCCGCGUGGGGGAAGAAGGCC
This 358-nucleotide ribosomal RNA is filed under the name uncultured bacterium. RNAcentral's name for it is "bacterial SSU rRNA". It matches the Rfam family "Bacterial small subunit ribosomal RNA", at positions 28 to 416 of the family's 1533-position model. The record is from RNAcentral.